This 594-nucleotide ribosomal RNA is filed under the name Candida tropicalis. RNAcentral's name for it is "partial large subunit ribosomal RNA". It matches the Rfam family "Eukaryotic large subunit ribosomal RNA", at positions 56 to 669 of the family's 3401-position model. Lineage: Eukaryota; Fungi; Ascomycota; Pichiomycetes; Serinales; Debaryomycetaceae. The record is from RNAcentral.
CCCCAAAGCGCGGGUAUUGCCUUAGUAGCGGCGAGUGAAGCGGCAAAAGCUCAAAUUUGAAAUCUGGCUCUUUCAGAGUCCGAGUUGUAAUUUGAAGAAGGUAUCUUUGGGUCUGGCUCUUGUCUAUGUUUCUUGGAACAGAACGUCACAGAGGGUGAGAAUCCCGUGCGAUGAGAUGAUCCAGGCCUAUGUAAAGUUCCUUCGAAGAGUCGAGUUGUUUGGGAAUGCAGCUCUAAGUGGGUGGUAAAUUCCAUCUAAAGCUAAAUAUUGGCGAGAGACCGAUAGCGAACAAGUACAGUGAUGGAAAGAUGAAAAGAACUUUGAAAAGAGAGUGAAAAAGUACGUGAAAUUGUUGAAAGGGAAGGGCUUGAGAUCAGACUUGGUAUUUUGUAUGUUACUUCUUCGGGGGUGGCCUCUACAGUUUAUCGGGCCAGCAUCAGUUUGGGCGGUAGGAGAAUUGCGUUGGAAUGUGGCACGGCCUCGGUUGUGUGUUAUAGCCUUCGUCGAUACUGCCAGCCUAGACUGAGGACUGCGGUUUAUACCUAGGAUGUUGGCAUAAUGAUCUUAAGUCGCCCGUCUUGAAACACGGACCAA